Molecule: unclassified non-coding RNA, 371 nt
Filed under: plant metagenome
Description: partial contains 5.8S ribosomal RNA, internal transcribed spacer 2, and large subunit ribosomal RNA
Rfam family: 5.8S ribosomal RNA (bases 1-98)
Source: RNAcentral
GAUAAGUAAUGUGAAUUGCAGAAUUCAGUGAAUCAUCGAAUCUUUGAACGCACCUUGCGCUCCUUGGUAUUCCUUGGAGCAUGCCUGUUUGAGUAUCAUGAAAUCUUCAAAGUAAAUCUUUUGUUAACUCAAUUGGUUUCUACUUUGGUAUUGGAGGUCUUUGCAGCUUCACACCUGCUCCUCUUUGUUCAUUAGCUGGAUCUCAGUGUUAUGCUUGGUUCCACUCGGCGUGAUAAGUUAUCUAUCGCUGAGGACACUGUAAAAGGUGGCCAAGGUAAAUGCAGAUGAACCGCUUCUAAUAGUCCAUUGACUUGGACAAUACUUUUAUGAUCUGAUCUCAAAUCAGGUAGGACUACCCGCUGAACUUAAGC